GGCCUGGGUGUCGGUGUAGCCGCACAUGCGCCCUCGGCUUCUGGCAGUCUUUUUACGGGUUGCGUUCUUCUGGAGGUUACGGGAAGGAAGGCCGAGUGUGCGCAUGCGUGGGCACUCCCCGGCCUCGAACUUCGGUUAUCUUGGGGACUACGAGGCGCUCUCUCUUGGGUCUGGUUCUGCUUCCUCUUUGCUUGAGGCUGUGGCAGCUAAAACCGGUGGGGGGCGGUUGGAAACACUUUUAUUGAGCACGUACUGUGUCCCUAGCGCUGUAGAGCCCCCAAGGACGAGUAAGACAGGUUCUGGUGCCUGCCCUCGAGAAGCUUGGGGAGCCAAGGGCCUACGCAGGUGGCCCAGUGUUUCGUUGGUUCGAAUCCUGGGCGCGGACAUGGCACUGCUCAUCAAACCAUGCUGAGGCAGCGUCCCA
RNAcentral lists this long non-coding RNA (424 nucleotides) under Equus asinus (donkey). Its description in RNAcentral is "lncRNA (ENSEASG00005031293.1)". The record is from RNAcentral. Lineage: Eukaryota; Metazoa; Chordata; Mammalia; Perissodactyla; Equidae.